RNAcentral lists this ribosomal RNA (392 nucleotides) under uncultured Gammaproteobacteria bacterium. RNAcentral's name for it is "bacterial SSU rRNA". It matches the Rfam family "Bacterial small subunit ribosomal RNA", at positions 370 to 779 of the family's 1533-position model. Lineage: Bacteria; Pseudomonadati; Pseudomonadota; Gammaproteobacteria. The record is from RNAcentral.
AAUGGGGGCAACCCUGAUCCAGCCAUGCCGCGUGAGUGAUGAAGGCCUUAGGGUCGUAAAGCUCUUUCGCCUGUGAAGAUAAUGACGGUAGCAGGUAAAGAAACCCCGGCUAACUCCGUGCCAGCAGCCGCGGUAAUACGGAGGGGGUUAGCGUUGUUCGGAAUUACUGGGCGUAAAGCGCACGUAGGCGGACUGGAAAGUUGGGGGUGAAAUCCCAGGGCUCAACCCUGGAACUGCCUCCAAAACUAUCAGUCUAGAGUUCGAGAGAGGUGAGUGGAUUUCCGAGUGUAGAGGUGAAAUUCGUAGAUAUUCGGAGGAACACCAGUGGCGAAGGCGGCUCACUGGCUCGAUACUGACGCUGAGGUGCGAAAGUGUGGGGAGCAAACAGGAUU